Molecule: ribosomal RNA, 392 nt
Filed under: uncultured bacterium
Lineage: Bacteria
Description: partial 16S ribosomal RNA
Rfam family: Bacterial small subunit ribosomal RNA
Source: RNAcentral
AUACGUAGGUGGCAAGCGUUAUCCGGAAUUAUUGGGCGUAAAGAGGGAGCAGGCGGCAGCAAGGGUCUGUGGUGAAAGCCUGAAGCUUAACUUCAGUAAGCCAUAGAAACCAGGCAGCUAGAGUGCAGGAGCGGCUCGUGGAAUUCCAUGUGUAGCGGGGAAAUGCGUAGAUAUAUGGAUGAACACCAGUGGCGAAGGCGACGAUCUGGCCUGCAAGUGACGCUCAGUCCCGAAAGCGUGGGGAGCAAAUAGGAUUAGAUCCCCUAUUAGUCCACGCCGUAAACGAUGAGUACUAAGUGUUGGAUGUCAAAGUUCAGUGCUGCAGUUAACGCAAUAAGUACUCCGCGUGAGUAGUACGUUCGCAAGAAUGAAACUCAAAGGAAUUGGCGGGG